GAGUUGCUUGUUGCGCUGUUUCAGAUCUAAUUAAGUUUUGGUCUUUUGGGAGAUUCUCUUUGUACUCCGCCUUUUCGACAUUAAUAAAUUAUUUGCUCCGCCUUCGCCCGUGGACGUAGACCGUUGGCCGAACCACGUAAAUAUCGGUGUGCUCUUUCUCUUUAUCUUUUUUUUUCUUGCAUUAAAUUAUUUUCUGGAUCUAUUUUUCGCCAUUCCGAUUUUAACAUAUAUAGACAGCAAGAAGGGACCACAGAGAAUGAAUCCAUACCAUUUUCGUGAUCAAAGGGGAUGAAUAAGCCGAAACGAAGCGUCGCUAACGGGAACGGUGCGACCGGAAGAAGCGCCGACCAUGAACCCAGCCCAACAUUCUGUCUAGAGAGGGAACAGGAGUCGAAGCGGCAUAUAAGGAGCGAACGAAACGAAGCGUCGCGACGGGAAGAAGGCCCGACCAUGAACUCGCCCAACAUUCCGUCCAGAGAGGGAACGGGAGGGAACAGGAGUCGGAGCGGCACCUAGAGGGGCGAGCGAAGGAGGUGAAGUUGGAAGAAGAAGUUAAUUAGAAGCAGGGAAGGAGGCGGAGUUGGAAUAGGGAAAAUUAAAUGGAAGCAGAUUAUGAAAAAAAAUUUGGUUGGGUAGGACCCACCCACUAAUUAAU
This 655-nucleotide long non-coding RNA is filed under the name Ananas comosus (pineapple). Its description in RNAcentral is "long non-coding RNA (ACOM_LNC026174)". The record is from RNAcentral. Lineage: Eukaryota; Viridiplantae; Streptophyta; Magnoliopsida; Poales; Bromeliaceae.